This is a long non-coding RNA of Branchiostoma belcheri (Belcher's lancelet), 448 nucleotides long. RefSeq lists it as uncharacterized. Lineage: Eukaryota; Metazoa; Chordata; Leptocardii; Amphioxiformes; Branchiostomatidae. The transcript has 3 exons. The record is from RefSeq and is a predicted model, not a curated record.
UCCAGCCAGGUCGUGGUUGUGGGACGCCCGUUUGUGUGGGACUGUACAGCUGAGGACACAGAGAACACCGGAGCUGCUGUGGACAUCAGGUGGAAACUGGGAGAUGUUUUCCUGGACGACAACCAUCCCAGAAUCCAUCGCCAUGCCAACGGCUCGCUGCUGUUCUCCCCCGUCCAAUCAGAAGACAUCGCUAACUACACCUGUGUGGUGUCACUCCGCGGCAGGAGUGGGUCGGCUGUACAGAGCAGCCCGGCGUUUCUCAGGAUAGCCUACAUUGACCCCAUAGAGCGCCCCCCGGUGUCCCAGAAUGUAAGUGCAGGAGUGACGGUGUACCUGACCUGUAUCUCCGGCCCCAGCCUGCCACUGGCUACCCUGUACUGGGAGAAGGAUGGGGUCAACUUCACGGGCGGGCAGGUGUACGAGACACAGGGCUUCGGUGGAAACAGAA